RNAcentral lists this long non-coding RNA (1242 nucleotides) under Homo sapiens (human). Its description in RNAcentral is "non-protein coding lnc-PCSK7-1:2". The record is from RNAcentral. Lineage: Eukaryota; Metazoa; Chordata; Mammalia; Primates; Hominidae.
UGUGCCUUCUCUCCAGUGUUUGUCUGAAGAGACUUCCAAAAGAGGUACCAAAGGAAGCCGAACCCAUCCCCUGGCCUCAGAGGGGUCAGAGGUUGGGAGGGACACGCUGGUCUGAGGAUGGACGCAGGAGCGCACUCCCCCGGCUCCCUCUCUGGGCUAUCGCUGCUGCUCAGGCCCUGGGGACCCGCCAGAGUGGGACACCGUGCUCCAACACAGAUGAGGAAACUGAGGCCCCGAGUGCGUCUUCCUCAAGGCCACAUGGUGAAUGGAACAGUCCCUACCAGCCUGGAAAACAGACCAGCCUCUGUCACUCCAGAGAUAACCCACUCUCAUCUUGCUCGUACCUGGCUUCAGGGAUCUUGGGGAGAGAUAAGAGGUUAAAAAAGGGACAUAUCAAAACUCCCUCCUCUUGGAGCCUGCCCAGCUUUCAUCACCCUCCUGCCUCGGCCUGCACGCUGAGCGGAUUAUAAACGCCGCAUCAGGGAGCACUGCUUGGGCCUGUGGCGAAAACGGAAAUGCAACCAUAGCAUGGAGACGCUCUGAGAAAAGAUCCAGACCCACCUCAUCUCCCAGCCCUUCAAGCAGAGCUAUAAAAACAAGUUUGGGAGAAAAACACAUUCCCAUCCCCAAAGCAGAGGCCCCGCCUGAGCUCCCCCAUCCUCAGCAUCUGGGGUGGACCAGGUAUGUGUGUGCAUGACUAACACAGAACUUGCCUGAAGACUGGACGGAAACUUAGAAGCCAGCCCUGGGUCCUAGAGCGAGGCUAGGACUGGGCACGUAGAGGGAAACAGCACAUCCCUUCCUGAAGCCCCUUUCUAAGUAUCCAGGUCGUCAUCCAGUGUCAGCAACACCUGGGGUGUGGACGCCAGAUCAGCCACAGAGAAGGAGGCAGCUGCUACCUUCACGUACCCACCCGGCUCGGCCGGGAGGCCCGCUUACCAGGAAGGACCCGAACAUGGCGAUGGAGGAGAGGAAGUGCCAGAUGUCGUGGUCGUCAAAGAAGUCGAGGAGGAUGCAGUCCCGGUUGUGCUCCCUCGACUCUGCAGGGGUUUUCUUGGGGAGCAACAAGAAAAACUGCCGAAUGACCCUGCUCUGGCAGGGCAAGGGCCAGACCCAUCUGCCAUCUUGCUCCUGGGCACCCCUCUCUCCAGCCCCAGGCAGGACAGCAGCAAUUCUGACCUGUCCCUUGUCCUUGUCCCUACCCCUUCCCGAUCUAACAAAUGGCCUUUGGUUACAAACUUC